AGCGUACACGGUGGAUGCCCUGGCAGUCAGAGGCGAUGAAGGACGUGCUAAUCUGCGAAAAGCGUCGGUAAGGUGAUAUGAACCGUUAUAACCGGCGAUGUCCGAAUGGGGAAACCCAGUGCAAUUCGUUGCACUAUCGUUAACUGAAUACAUAGGUUAACGAGGCGAACCGGGGGAACUGAAACAUCUAAGUACCCCGAGGAAAAGAAAUCAACCGAGAUUCCCCCAGUAGCGGCGAGCGAACGGGGAGCAGCCCAGAGUCUGAAUCAGCUUGUGUGUUAGUGGAACGGUCUGGAAAGUCCGACGGUACAGGGUGAUAGUCCCGUACACCAAAAUGCACAGGCUGUGAACUCGAAGAGUAGGGCGGGACACGUGGUAUCCUGUCUGAAUAUGGGGGGACCAUCCUCCAAGGCUAAAUACUCCUGACUGACCGAUAGUGAACCAGUACCGUGAGGGAAAGGCGAAAAGAACCCCGGCGAGGGGAGUGAAAAAGAACCUGAAACCGUGUACGUACAAGCAGUGGGAGCACCUUCGGGUGUGACUGCGUACCUUUUGUAUAAUGGGUCAGCGACUUAUAUUCUGUAGCAAGGUUAACCGUAUAGGGGAGCCGCAGGGAAACCGAGUCUUAACUGGGCGUUAAGUUGCAGGGUAUAGACCCGAAACCCGGUGAUCUAGCCAUGGGCAGGUUGAAGGUUGGGUAACACUAACUGGAGGACCGAACCGACUAAUGUUGAAAAAUUAGCGGAUGACUUGUGGCUGGGGGUGAAAGGCCAAUCAAACCGGGAGAUAGCUGGUUCUCCCCGAAAGCUAUUUAGGUAGCGCCUCGUGAAUUCAUCUUCGGGGGUAGAGCACUGUUUCGGCUAGGGGGUCAUCCCGACUUACCAACCCGAUGCAAACUACGAAUACCGAAGAAUGUUAUCACGGGAGACACACGGCGGGUGCUAACGUCCGUCGUGAAGAGGGAAACAACCCAGACCGCCAGCUAAGGUCCCAAAGUCAUGGUUAAGUGGGAAACGAUGUGGGAAGGCACAGACAGCCAGGAUGUUGGCUUAGAAGCAGCCAUCAUUUAAAGAAAGCGUAAUAGCUCACUGGUCGAGUCGGCCUGCGCGGAAGAUGUAACGGGGCUAAACCAUGCACCGAAGCUGCGGCAGCGACACUAUGUGUUGUUGGGUAGGGGAGCGUUCUGUAAGCCUGCGAAGGUGNUGCUGGAGGUAUCAGAAGUGCGAAUGCUGACAUAAGUAACGAUAAAGCGGGUGAAAAGCCCGCUCGCCGGAAGACCAAGGGUUCCUGUCCAACGUUAAUCGGGGCAGGGUGAGUCGACCCCUAAGGCGAGGCCGAAAGGCGUAGUCGAUGGGAAACAGGUUAAUAUUCCUGUACUUGGUGUUACUGCGAAGGGGGGACGGAGAAGGCUAUGUUAGCCGGGCGACGGUUGUCCCGGUUUAAGCAUGUAGGCUGAUUGUCCAGGCAAAUCCGGAUAAUCAAGGCUGAGGUGUGAUGACGAGGCACUACGGUGCUGAAGUAACAAAUGCCCUGCUUCCAGGAAAAGCCUCUAAGCAUCAGGUAACAUCAAAUCGUACCCCAAACCGACACAGGUGGUCAGGUAGAGAAUACCAAGGCGCUUGAGAGAACUCGGGUGAAGGAACUAGGCAAAAUGGUGCCGUAACUUCGGGAGAAGGCACGCUGGUGUGUAGGUGAAGUCCCUGCGGAUGGAGCUGAGACCAGUCGAAGAUACCAGCUGGCUGCAACUGUUUAUUAAAAACACAGCACUGUGCAAACACGAAAGUGGACGUAUACGGUGUGACGCCUGCCCGGUGCCGGAAGGUUAAUUGAUGGGGUUAUCCGUAAGGAGAAGCUCUUGAUCGAAGCCCCGGUAAACGGCGGCCGUAACUAUAACGGUCCUAAGGUAGCGAAAUUCCUUGUCGGGUAAGUUCCGACCUGCACGAAUGGCGUAAUGAUGGCCAGGCUGUCUCCACCCGAGACUCAGUGAAAUUGAACUCGCUGUGAAGAUGCAGUGUACCCGCGGCAAGACGGAAAGACCCCGUGAACCUUUACUAUAGCUUGACACUGAACAUUGAGCCUUGAUGUGUAGGAUAGGUGGGAGGCUUUGAAGCGUGGACGCCAGUCUGCGUGGAGCCAACCUUGAAAUACCACCCUUUAAUGUUUGAUGUUCUAACGUUGGCCCCUUACCGGGGUUGCGGACAGUGUCUGGUGGGUAGUUUGACUGGGGCGGUCUCCUCCCAAAGCGUAACGGAGGAGCACGAAGGUUAGCUAAUCCUGGUCGGACAUCAGGAGGUUAGUGCAAUGGCAUAAGCUAGCUUGACUGCGAGCGUGACGGCGCGAGCAGGUGCGAAAGCAGGUCAUAGUGAUCCGGUGGUUCUGAAUGGAAGGGCCAUCGCUCAACGGAUAAAAGGUACUCCGGGGAUAACAGGCUGAUACCGCCCAAGAGUUCAUAUCGACGGCGGUGUUUGGCACCUCGAUGUCGGCUCAUCACAUCCUGGGGCUGAAGUAGGUCCCAAGGGUAUGGCUGUUCGCCAUUUAAAGUGGUACGCGAGCUGGGUUUAGAACGUCGUGAGACAGUUCGGUCCCUAUCUGCCGUGGGCGCUGGAGAAUUGAGGGGGGCUGCUCCUAGUACGAGAGGACCGGAGUGGACGCAUCACUGGUGUUCGGGUUGUCAUGCCAAUGGCACUGCCCGGUAGCUAAAUGCGGAAGAGAUAAGUGCUGAAAGCAUCUAAGCACGAAACUUGCCCCGAGAUGAGUUCU
RNAcentral lists this ribosomal RNA (2760 nucleotides) under Klebsiella pneumoniae subsp. pneumoniae. RNAcentral's name for it is "bacterial LSU rRNA". It matches the Rfam family "Bacterial large subunit ribosomal RNA". Lineage: Bacteria; Pseudomonadati; Pseudomonadota; Gammaproteobacteria; Enterobacterales; Enterobacteriaceae. The record is from RNAcentral.